This 23-nucleotide unclassified non-coding RNA is filed under the name Mus musculus (house mouse). RNAcentral describes it as "oocyte_clustered_small_RNA370". Lineage: Eukaryota; Metazoa; Chordata; Mammalia; Rodentia; Muridae. The record is from RNAcentral.
UAACGUAGAAGCAGGCUGAGGAU